CCAGUACACGAAGUUAUGCGAAGCGUAGCGGUACCCUGAGUAGCGCGGGACACGAGAAAUCCUGUGUGAAUCCGGCGGGCCCAUCCGCCAAGGCUAAAUACUCGUAAGAGACCGAUAGCGAACCAGUACCGUGAGGGAAAGGUGAAAAGCACCCCGACGAGGGGAGUGAAACAGCACCUGAAACCGGAUGCUUACAAACAGU
RNAcentral lists this ribosomal RNA (202 nucleotides) under Anophryoides haemophila. RNAcentral's name for it is "partial Bacterial large subunit ribosomal RNA". It matches the Rfam family "Bacterial large subunit ribosomal RNA", at positions 372 to 574 of the family's 2925-position model. The record is from RNAcentral. Lineage: Eukaryota; Ciliophora; Oligohymenophorea; Philasterida; Glauconematidae.